ACAAUGGAGAGUUUGAUCCUGGCUCAGGAUGAACGCUAGCGGCAGGCUUAAUACAUGCAAGUCGUGGGGCAGCGCAGGUAGCAAUACUGGGCGGCGACCGGCAAACGGGUGCGGAACACGUACACAACCUUCCUACAAGUGGGGAAUAGCCCAGAGAAAUUUGGAUUAAUACCCCGUAACAUAACGAUGUGGCAUCACAUUGUUAUUAUAGCUUCGGCGCUUGUUGAUGGGUG
RNAcentral lists this ribosomal RNA (233 nucleotides) under Sediminibacterium sp. Its description in RNAcentral is "partial 16S ribosomal RNA". It matches the Rfam family "Bacterial small subunit ribosomal RNA", at positions 1 to 231 of the family's 1533-position model. Lineage: Bacteria; Pseudomonadati; Bacteroidota; Chitinophagia; Chitinophagales; Chitinophagaceae. The record is from RNAcentral.